GAACGCAAAUUGCACUCUCUGGUAUUCCGGAGAGUAUGCCUGUUUGAGGGUCAGUUAAAUAAAAAUCGGUGUUGCUGCUGCCUUGCGUGGUGACGCAUCGGAUUUGGGUCGUCUUACCUUCGGUUAAGUGACCUAAAAUUUUGCAUGAUUUUUCGAACGUAUUUAAAUUAUUUACGUACGUUUGCGAUAUCGAAUAUUAGGAGUGGUCAUUCUCAUGAUUCGCGCCUAUAAUUUCACAUCAAAAUGACCUCAAAUCAGGUAAGAGUACCCGCUGAACUUAAGC
RNAcentral lists this unclassified non-coding RNA (283 nucleotides) under uncultured Glomus. RNAcentral describes it as "sequence contains ITS2". The stretch from base 1 to 53 matches the Rfam family "5.8S ribosomal RNA", at positions 102 to 154 of the family's 154-position model. Lineage: Eukaryota; Fungi; Glomeromycota; Glomeromycetes; Glomerales; Glomeraceae. The record is from RNAcentral.